Molecule: ribosomal RNA, 587 nt
Filed under: Bipolaris oryzae
Lineage: Eukaryota; Fungi; Ascomycota; Dothideomycetes; Pleosporales; Pleosporaceae
Description: eukaryotic LSU rRNA
Rfam family: 5.8S ribosomal RNA (bases 206-359)
Source: RNAcentral
CUCCGUAGGUGAACCUGCGGAGGGAUCAUUACACAACAAAAUAUGAAGGCCUGGCUUUCGCGGCCGGCUGAAGUAUUUUUUUCACCCAUGUCUUUUGCGCACUUGUUGUUUCCUGGGCGGGUUCGCCCGCCACCAGGACCAAACCAUAAACCUUUUUUUCUUAUGCAGUUUCCAUCAGCGUCAGUAAAAACAAUGUAAUUAUUACAACUUUCAACAACGGAUCUCUUGGUUCUGGCAUCGAUGAAGAACGCAGCGAAAUGCGAUACGUAGUGUGAAUUGCAGAAUUCAGUGAAUCAUCGAAUCUUUGAACGCACAUUGCGCCCUUUGGUAUUCCAAAGGGCAUGCCUGUUCGAGCGUCAUUUGUACCUUCAAGCUUUGCUUGGUGUUGGGCGUUUUUUUGUCUCCCUCUUUCUGGGAGACUCGCCUUAAAACGAUUGGCAGCCGGCCUACUGGUUUCGGAGCGCAGCACAUUUUUUGCGCUUUGUAUCAGGAGAAAAGGACGGUACUCCAUCAAGACUCUACAUUUUUCACUUUUGACCUCGGAUCAGGUAGGGAUACCCGCUGAACUUAAGCAUAUCAAUAAGCGG